AUUCCUUGUCUUUUCUGAAGA
This 21-nucleotide microRNA is filed under the name Gallus gallus (chicken). RNAcentral describes it as "gga-miR-6574-5p". Lineage: Eukaryota; Metazoa; Chordata; Aves; Galliformes; Phasianidae. The record is from miRBase by way of RNAcentral.